RNAcentral lists this ribosomal RNA (468 nucleotides) under uncultured bacterium. RNAcentral's name for it is "partial 16S ribosomal RNA". It matches the Rfam family "Bacterial small subunit ribosomal RNA", at positions 29 to 507 of the family's 1533-position model. The record is from RNAcentral.
CACGAACGCUGGCGGCGUGCUUAACACAUGCAAGUCGAACGGAAAGGCCCUGCUUUUGUGGGGUGCUCGAGUGGCGAACGGGUGAGUAACACGUGAGUAACCUGCCCUUGACUUUGGGAUAACUUCAGGAAACUGGGGCUAAUAUCGGAUAGGAGCUCCUGCUGCAUGGUGGGGGUUGGAAAGUUUCGGCGGUUGGGGAUGGACUCGCGGCUUAUCAGCUUGUUGGUGGGGUAGUGGCUUACCAAGGCUUUGACGGGUAGCCGGCCUGAGAGGGUGACCGGCCACAUUGGGACUGAGAUACGGCCCAGACUCCUACGGGAGGCAGCAGUGGGGAAUAUUGCACAAUGGGCGGAAGCCUGAUGCAGCAACGCCGCGUGCGGGAUGACGGCCUUCGGGUUGUAAACCGCUUUCGCCUGUGACGAAGCGUGAGUGACGGUAAUGGGUAAAGAAGCACCGGCUAACUACGUG